Molecule: long non-coding RNA, 376 nt
Organism: Sinocyclocheilus anshuiensis
Lineage: Eukaryota; Metazoa; Chordata; Actinopteri; Cypriniformes; Cyprinidae
Source: Ensembl
GUUGCGCGCUACGGACUGGCGAACCCGCGAGAGUAUUCUAGGCCGCUUGUGUGAUCAAACAGAUCCAUUCCGUUCUUGGGGAACAUCAUCGAGAUUAGACGUGGGCUCUCAACUUUAUUCCAGUGGCGGACGGGGGUCCUUUGCAUCUGUAUUGAGGUGCCGAUAGCCGCAUUCACGCCCGAAGACGUGGAGACUCGCAGCAGGAAGAUCUUGUUCAAGCCUGUAAGAGAUUGGAGCAACAUCCGCUGCUUUAUAAUAGCAGGCUUGGUGAUUAAGCGUUAGAGCUGCUCUGAGGGCCAGUGGAAACCCAGGUGUGUAUCUUCUGAUUUCCUCUUGUCUCGUGUGGGAUUUUGCGAUAUUUACAUUGAUGCAUUUA